UAUCCAUCACAUCACAUCGCAAGUAGAUUGAGCAGUGUGCACAUAUUGACUGAUGAGAAUAUUUGAGAAAGCCUUGUGAGACAAGCUGUUUGAUUUUCGAGGGUGGAUUUCAGUUUGUUGGCCAACGGUCUGCUGGAGAAACAAGUGUUACCAUGGAAACCAUUUUGCUCUUCUUCUCGUCACUCCUGGUGUGUGUGGCUGCUGUAACAGACCCCAGUGCACAGGUGAGUAC
Etheostoma spectabile (orangethroat darter) is the source of this 232-nucleotide long non-coding RNA. RefSeq lists it as uncharacterized. Lineage: Eukaryota; Metazoa; Chordata; Actinopteri; Perciformes; Percidae. The record is from RefSeq and is a predicted model, not a curated record. The transcript is spliced from 3 exons.